Molecule: small nuclear RNA, 102 nt
Filed under: Carlito syrichta (Philippine tarsier)
Lineage: Eukaryota; Metazoa; Chordata; Mammalia; Primates; Tarsiidae
Source: RNAcentral
CUUGCUUUGGCAGAACAUACUAAAAUUGGAACGAUACAGAGAAGAUUUGCAUGGCCCCUGUGCAUGGAUGACACACAAAUUCAUGAAACGUUCUGUAUUUUA